RNAcentral lists this ribosomal RNA (495 nucleotides) under Brachymeles talinis. RNAcentral's name for it is "partial 16S ribosomal RNA". It matches the Rfam family "Bacterial large subunit ribosomal RNA", at positions 1851 to 2589 of the family's 2925-position model. The record is from RNAcentral. Lineage: Eukaryota; Metazoa; Chordata; Lepidosauria; Squamata; Scincidae.
GGUAUCGCCUGCCCAGUGACACAUGUUUAACGGCCGCGGUAUUCUAACCGUGCAAAGGUAGCGUAAUCACUUGUCUUCUAAAUAAAGACUCGUAUGAAUGGCUAAAUGAGGAUAACACUGUCUCCUGUGACCAAUCAGUGAAACUGAUCUCCCAGUACAAAAGCUGGGAUAACCACAUAAGACGAGAAGACCCUGUGGAGCUUCAAACAAACUACUACCAAACAACAAACUGUAACUAGUAUUAUGUUUUAAGUUGGGGCGACUUCGGAACAAAAGAAAACUUCCGAGCACAAGACCACAAAUCUUGUUGCGGCCAACAAGCCAAAACAUAUUAAACAUGACCCAGUCAGACUGAUCAACGAACCAAGUUACCCCAGGGAUAACAGCGCAAUCUUCUUCAAGAGUCCAUAUCGACAAGAAGGUUUACGACCUCGAUGUUGGAUCAGGACACCCAAAUGGUGCAGCCGCUAUUAAAGGUUCGUUUGUUCAACGAUU